Molecule: non-coding RNA, 25 nt
Filed under: Rattus norvegicus (Norway rat)
Lineage: Eukaryota; Metazoa; Chordata; Mammalia; Rodentia; Muridae
Source: RNAcentral
UGGCCUCGGAUUAUACUAUCCCAAC